RNAcentral lists this small RNA (481 nucleotides) under Histoplasma capsulatum. Its description in RNAcentral is "hypothetical RNA". Lineage: Eukaryota; Fungi; Ascomycota; Eurotiomycetes; Onygenales; Ajellomycetaceae. RNAcentral also lists the same sequence under 1 other name. The record is from RNAcentral.
AUCUACCACUGCUAAUCUAUACCGCUGUCAAUCUAUCUACCACUGCUAAUCUAUACCACUGUCAAUCUAUCUAUCACUGCUAAUCUAUCACUGCUGCUAAUCUAUCUACCACUGUCAAUCUAUCUAUCACUGUCAAUCUAUCUACCACUGUUAAUCUAUUGCUGCUAAUCUAUCACUGCUAAUCUAUUGCUGCUAAUCUAUUACUGCUAAUCUAUCACUACUAAUCUAUCACUGCUAAUCUAUCACUGCUGUCAAUCUAUCUAUCACUGUCAAUCUAUCUACUGCUGCUAAUCUAUUACUGCUGUCAAUCUAUCUAUCACUGCUAAUCUAUCACUGCUAAUCUAUUGCUGCUAAUCUAUUGCUGCUAAUCUAUCACUGCUAAUCUAUUGCUGCUAAUCUAUCUAUCACUGCUAAUCUAUUGCUGUCAAUCUAUCUACCACUGUCAAUCUAUCUACCACUGCCAAUCUAUCUACUACUGCCA